This 1554-nucleotide ribosomal RNA is filed under the name Triticum aestivum (bread wheat). Its description in RNAcentral is "partial small subunit ribosomal RNA". The record is from RNAcentral. Lineage: Eukaryota; Viridiplantae; Streptophyta; Magnoliopsida; Poales; Poaceae.
AUGGGCAAGCAACUUGACCUGGCCGCGCUCUCGGCGUGCCAACCGGCUUGGAUUCAGGAGGUGCUCAACUCCUAUUCCACCGACCCGGACGCCCAAGAUCGACUACAAAAGCUCGCCAUCACCAGCCCCGACGACGACUGCUACGAACUUCACCACGGCGUCAUCCGUCGCGGUGGCCGCCUGUGGAUUGGCGCCAACACCGCGCUCCGCACCAAGCUCAUCGCCGCGCUCCACAACAGCACGGUCGGCGGCCACUCCGGCGUCACAGCAACGUACCAGCGCGUGCGCAAGCACUUUGAGUGGCGUGGGCUCAAGCGCGACACCGAAGAGUUCGUGCAGCAGUGUGUGACUUGCCAACAGGCCAAGCACGAACACACCAAGCCUGCCGGGCUCUUGGCGCCGCUGCCCAUUCCAUCCACGCCCUGGGAAGACCUCACCAUGGAUUUCGUGGAGGGGCUGCCGCCGUCUGAAGGCUUCGACACGAUCAUGGUCAUGGUGGACCGCUUCACCAAGUUCGCCUAUUUCAUCCCGCUUCGUCACCCCUUCCACGCGGCGCAGGUGGCGCGCGCGUUCUGGGACGUGGUCAAGCUGCACGGGGUGCCCACCUCGAUCGUCUCCGACCGCGACAAGGUUUUCACCAGCAAUCUCUGGCGGGAGCUGCUCGUCGGCGCCGGCACGAAGCUGCUGUACUCCACCGCCUACCACCCGCAGACAGAUGGGCAGAGCGAGCGCGUGAACCAGUGCAUGGAGAUGUAUCUCCCGUGCGCGGUGCACGACACCCCGAGCAAGUGGCGUCGCUGGCUGCCCAUGGCGGAGUUCUGGUACAAUUCGACCUUCCACUCGUCGCUCAACUGCACCCCGUUCAAGGCGUUGUAUGGGAAGGAGGCCAACCUGGGAGCAAUGGCGGCCUGGCCGAACGACGCUCCCACCGGCGACGACCUGGACUGGGCGGCGCACACAACGCACAUACGCGCCCAGCUGGCGCGUGCCCAGAAGCGCUGCAAGAAACAAGCUGAUCGCCACCGCACCGAGCGCCAGUUCCAGGUGGGCGAGCAGGUACUCCUGAAACUGCAGCCCUACGUCCAGCAAUCUGUCCUCAGCCGGCCCUGCGCCAAACUCGCCUACAAGUUCUUCGGGCCAUACAAUGUCAUCGAGAGAAUCGGGCUCAUGGCGUACAAGCUCGACCUGCCGGAAUCCAGCCGCGUGCACCCGGUCUUCCACGUCUCGCAGCUGAAGCCGUUCACGCCGGAUUACACGCCGGUGUACGCAGAACUUCCACGGGUGCCUGAUCUGUCCGUGGCGACCACGGCACCCACGCCCAUCCUGGAGCGACGCAUGAUGAAGAAGGGGAAUGCUCCAGUCGUCCAGAUCAGGGUGCAAUGGGGGAACAGUGCUACUCCAGCCGCUACGUGGGAAGACUACGACACCUUACGGCAACGCUUUCCAGCCGCUCUCAUCUGGGAAGACGAAGACGCCAGCCCUGAAGACGGAGCUCGCUCUCAAGGAGGGGAGAAUGUCACACCUGGCCACUUGUCCGCCACUUGUCCAGUGUGA